UACGUAGGUGGCAAGCGUUGUCCGGAUUUACUGGGCGUAAAGAGCGCGCAGGCGGUCGGAUAAGUCGAAUGUGAAAGCCCCCGGCUCAACUGAGGAGGGUCAUUCGAUACUGUUCGACUCGAAGGCAGGAGAGGGAAGUGGAAUUCCCGGUGUAGUGGUGAAAUGCGUAGAUAUCGGGAGGAACACCAGUGGCGAAGGCGACUUCCUGGCCUGUUCUUGACGCUGAGGCGCGAAAGCUAGGGGAGCAAACGGG
This 253-nucleotide ribosomal RNA is filed under the name uncultured bacterium. RNAcentral's name for it is "partial 16S ribosomal RNA". It matches the Rfam family "Bacterial small subunit ribosomal RNA", at positions 524 to 776 of the family's 1533-position model. The record is from RNAcentral.